UUUAGUAUUGUUUUGGACAAAAAUAUGUAUCAAAAAUGCGAAACACACAUUUCAGGGGAAGCAUGCUGAGUCCAAAUAUACACCUAGUUUAUAGGCAUUUUGUAGAUAAAUUGUAAAUUAUUUUUAUUCUGAUUGUAGAUGCUUUAUUUUUUGUUUUCACAAAUAAAAAAAACGACUAAAACUUCUACAAAUCUUCUAAAAAAUACAAUUAUGUCAAAAAUCAUAAUUAUGCUAUAAUUGAAUGGAAAUUGGGAUAUUAAAAUCAAUGUACCUAGUUUGUAGAUAUUUUGCAGAUAAUUUGUAGAUUAUUUGUAUUCCGAUUGUAGAUGCUUUGUUUUCUAUUUUCACAGAUAAAAAACGACUAAAACUUCUACAGAUCUUCUGAAAAAGCAAUUGUGUUGAAAAUCCUAAUAAUGCUACAAUUGAAUGGGAAUUGGGAUAUUAAAA
Molecule: long non-coding RNA, 447 nt
Filed under: Nicotiana benthamiana
Lineage: Eukaryota; Viridiplantae; Streptophyta; Magnoliopsida; Solanales; Solanaceae
Description: long non-coding RNA (NBEN_LNC038281)
Source: RNAcentral